This 449-nucleotide ribosomal RNA is filed under the name uncultured bacterium. RNAcentral describes it as "partial 16S ribosomal RNA". It matches the Rfam family "Bacterial small subunit ribosomal RNA", at positions 29 to 523 of the family's 1533-position model. The record is from RNAcentral.
AACGAACGCUGGCGGCAUGCCUAAUACAUGCAAGUCGAACGAGAUCUUCGGAUCUAGUGGCGCACGGGUGCGUAACGCGUGGGAAUCUACCCUUGGGUUCGGAAUAACGUCGGGAAACCGACGCUAAUACCGGAUGAUGACGUAAGUCCAAAGAUUUAUCGCCCAAGGAUGAGCCCGCGUAGGAUUAGCUAGUUGGUGGGGUAAAGGCCUACCAAGGCGACGAUCCUUAGCUGGUCUGAGAGGAUGAUCAGCCACACUGUGACUGAGACACGGCCCAGACUCCUACGGGAGGCAGCAGUAGGGAAUAUUGGACAAUGGGGGCAACCCUGAUCCAGCAAUGCCGCGUGAGCGAUGAAGGCCUUAGGGUUGUAAAGCUCUUUUACCCGAGAUGAUAAUGACAGUAUCGGGAGAAUAAGCCCCGGCUAACUCCGUGCCAGCCGCCGCCGUAA